RNAcentral lists this long non-coding RNA (1145 nucleotides) under Oncorhynchus mykiss (rainbow trout). RNAcentral describes it as "lncRNA (ENSOMYG00000070646.1)". Lineage: Eukaryota; Metazoa; Chordata; Actinopteri; Salmoniformes; Salmonidae. The record is from RNAcentral.
CGUAGCUACAGCGACUAAAACGCGACGCGUCCGAGCGUCUCGCGGUCGAGAGAUUUGAUUGGAUGAAACUCACGUCUGUAUUGCCCUACGGCGGAAAAUACGUCUUGUGAUUGGAGGACACUGCACAUCAAAAAAAAAAAAAAAACGCCCCUACAUUGAAAGGUAUCUUGUGUGUUUAUAUAUUAUGGGUUACAUUGGAACAUUGUUGCAACGUGUUUGAUUAACGUCACCAACCUAAUAUUGAACGAGUCAAUUAGUGAUUUUAUCUGUCUGUGUCUCUCUCAUUUCAGAACGGCGGCAUGAUCAGUAACACGUUAUAUCUUUCCAUUCCGUUGAUUGGUUGACAUGAGAUGAUAUUGGACUUGUGCUCAUUUAUUAAUUAACAGGUGACACCAGCGCGCCUACCUUUAUAAAUCAAUCCCCUACUGUCUCGUUAAAAGGAAUCAGUUCUGGCUGUUGAUUCCAAUGAGGACUAGGUCACAGUUGAGCAGCAGGUGACCAAUGCUUAUAACUGCUUCAUUUAUGGAAAGCUUUGGGAAAAAAAACCUUCCUCAUCCUUUGAGUUUGUCAAACAAUUUGGUUUAUGCAAGUACAUUUUUACCUACCUUUACCCCUUAUUUCUCUGCCAUUUUUAAAACCUACUAUGUAAAGGCAGUAUAUGUAACCUGGAAUUGGCAUGUGUUUUAAACGUAGCCGUUGUGAAUAUGACGACGAAGAGCCGACUGGCCCAUUUGAGAUGCUACCCCGUGUGGUUCAUACUAGGCCUACACCCUUUGAGUAAAAGGGUCAUUUUAUUCUUCAGACCGAUUCCUCAAAAGAGUCCCAGUCUUUAUCAGCAACAACAUGGUGACGGCUCAGAUCUUCUGGGAGAGGCUGUGGAUGAUACUGUGACGUGCAGAGUACUGGACAGAUGCAAGGUGUACGACUCCACGUUGACUCUCCCCAGAGAGCUGCAGAACCAUCGUCUCCAUCUUGGUCUCCAUGGUCGCCAGCAUCGCCGGGAUGGGGGGAAAGUGCAACAGCUGCUCGGCGCGAGGGUUCCGGAACCAAGGCCCAGGUUGCCACGGCAGCUGGGGUUCUGUUCCCGAUUUGCCGGGGUGCUGAGUCUGGUGUCUCUCAGCUGGACAGCUCCGUGUCAUCACUGA